This 462-nucleotide ribosomal RNA is filed under the name uncultured bacterium. RNAcentral's name for it is "bacterial SSU rRNA". It matches the Rfam family "Bacterial small subunit ribosomal RNA", at positions 331 to 792 of the family's 1533-position model. The record is from RNAcentral.
CCAGACUCCUACGGGAGGCAGCAGUGAGGAAUAUUGGUCAAUGGGCGAGAGCCUGAACCAGCCAAGUCGCGUGAGGGAGUACUGCCCUAUGGGUUGUAAACCUCUUUUGUCGGGGAGCAAAAGCCGGACGUGUCCGGCUGUGAGAGUACCCGAAGAAAAAGCAUCGGCUAACUCCGUGCCAGCAGCCGCGGUAAUACGGAGGAUGCGAGCGUUAUCCGGAUUUAUUGGGUUUAAAGGGUGCGCAGGCGGAUUUUUAAGUCAGCGGUCAAAUCGUGGGGCUCAACCCCAUCCAGCCGUUGAAACUGGGGAUCUAGAGUGUGCGAGAGGUAUGCGGAAUGCGUGGUGUAGCGGUGAAAUGCAUAGAUAUCACGCAGAACCCCGAUUGCGAAGGCAGCAUACCGGUGCACAACUGACGCUCAGGCACGAAAGCGUGGGUAUCGAACAGGAUUAGAUACCCCAGUA